RNAcentral lists this ribosomal RNA (537 nucleotides) under Candida albicans. Its description in RNAcentral is "eukaryotic LSU rRNA". The stretch from base 181 to 334 matches the Rfam family "5.8S ribosomal RNA". The record is from RNAcentral. Lineage: Eukaryota; Fungi; Ascomycota; Pichiomycetes; Serinales; Debaryomycetaceae.
GUAACAAGGUUUCCGUAGGUGAACCUGCGGAAGGAUCAUUACUGAUUUGCUUAAUUGCACCACAUGUGUUUUUCUUUGAAACAAACUUGCUUUGGCGGUGGGCCCAGCCUGCCGCCAGAGGUCUAAACUUGCAACCAAUUUUUUAUCAACUUGUCACACCAGAUUAUUACUAAUAGUCAAAACUUUCAACAACGGAUCUCUUGGUUCUCGCAUCGAUGAAGAACGCAGCGAAAUGCGAUACGUAAUAUGAAUUGCAGAUAUUCGUGAAUCAUCGAAUUUUUGAACGCACAUUGCGCCCUCUGGUAUUCCGGAGGGCAUGCCUGUUUGAGCGUCGUUUCUCCCUCAAACCGCUGGGUUUGGUGUUGAGCAAUACGACUUGGGUUUGCUUGAAAGACGGUAGUGGUAAGGCGGGAUCGCUUUGACAAUGGCUUAGGUCUAACCAAAAACAUUGCUUGCGGCGGUAACGUCUACCACGUAUAUCUUCAAACUUUGACCUCAAAUCAGGUAGGACUACCCGCUGAACUUAAGCAUAUCAAU